Molecule: ribosomal RNA, 495 nt
Filed under: uncultured bacterium
Lineage: Bacteria
Description: partial 16S ribosomal RNA
Rfam family: Bacterial small subunit ribosomal RNA
Source: RNAcentral
GACGAACGCUGGCGGCGUGCCUAAUACAUGCAAGUAGAACGCUGAAGGAGGAGCUUGCUUCUCUGGAUGAGUUGCGAACGGGUGAGUAACGCGUAGGUAACCUGCCUGGUAGCGGGGGAUAACUAUUGGAAACGAUAGCUAAUACCGCAUAAUAGUAGAUGUUGCAUGACAUUUGCUUAAAAGGUGCAAUUGCAUCACUACCAGAUGGACCUGCGUUGUAUUAGCUAGUUGGUGAGGUAACGGCUCACCAAGGCAACGAUACAUAGCCGACCUGAGAGGGUGAUCGGCCACACUGGGACUGAGACACGGCCCAGACUCCUACGGGAGGCAGCAGUAGGGAAUCUUCGGCAAUAGACGGAAGUCUGACCGAGCAACGCCGCGUGAGUGAAGAAGGUUUUCGGAUCGUAAAGCUCUGUUGUAAGAGAAGAACGAGUGUGAGAGUGGAAAGUUCACACUGUGACGGUAUCUUACCAGAAAGGGACGGCUAACUACGUG